This 63-nucleotide transfer RNA is filed under the name Lachesilla sp. LaspMLY. RNAcentral's name for it is "tRNA-Glu". Lineage: Eukaryota; Metazoa; Arthropoda; Insecta; Psocodea; Lachesillidae. The record is from RNAcentral.
GUUUAUAUAGUUUAUAUUAAAAUUUUACAUUUUCAUUGUAAAGAUAAAUUAUUUUUAUAAAUA